Molecule: non-coding RNA, 271 nt
Organism: Mesocricetus auratus (golden hamster)
Lineage: Eukaryota; Metazoa; Chordata; Mammalia; Rodentia; Cricetidae
Source: Rfam
ACCCGGCGCGGUGGCGCACGCCUGUAGUCCCAGCUACUAGGAGGAUCGCAGGGGUCCAAGAGUCCCGGGCUGUAGCGCGCUAUGCCAAUCUGGUGUCCGCACUAAGUUUAGCAUCAAUAUGGUGACCUCCCGGGAGUGGGGGACAACCAGGUUGCCUAAGGAGGGGUGAACCGGCCCAGGUCGGAAACGGAGAGGGUCAAAAAUCCGGUGCUGAUCAACUAACUAUUCCCAUGCUUCCAAAUUUAUCUCUGCUCAGACUGCUCCUCGCGCG